UACAGAGGGUGCGAGCGUUAAUCGGAAUUACUGGGCGUAAAGCGCACGUAGGUGGCUUUGCAAGUCGAUUGUGAAAUCCCCGGGCUUAACCUGGGAACUGCAGUCGAGACUGCUUUGCUUGAGUAUGGGAGAGGGAGGUGGAAUUUCCGGUGUAGCGGUGAAAUGCGUAGAUAUCGGAAGGAACAUCAGUGGCGAAGGCGACCUCCUGGACCAAUACUGACACUCAAGUGCGAAAGCGUGGGGAGCAAACAGG
Molecule: ribosomal RNA, 253 nt
Filed under: uncultured bacterium
Lineage: Bacteria
Also listed under: 2 other names
Description: partial 16S ribosomal RNA
Rfam family: Bacterial small subunit ribosomal RNA
Source: RNAcentral